AUGACAUUGAUUUAAAAGUUGAAUGGAGUAACGAUUGGAGGGCAAGUCUGGUGCCAGCAGCCGCGGUAAUUCCAGCUCCAAUAGCGUACACGAACGUUGUUGCAGUUAAAACGCCCGUAGUCGGAAAUGUGGGGCAUUGCUUUUUUGGAUUCUCUUUUUUUUACGAGGGAAUUGGAAAAAGCGACCCAUCUUGAAACGAGUUUCUUUAGUGGUCUUGAUUGAUUGCUAGAAGACUCGUUUUUAUUUACUGUGAAAAAAUUAGAGUGUUUCAAGCGUUUUUUGUGAAAGGAUAGCUUAGCAUGGUAUAAUUGUAAUAUAGGAUAGAAUUACGUUUGUAGAAUGGUAAUUUUAUCUUUUGUAAGUCAAUAGGGGUAGUUGGGGCCAUUUGUAUUCCAUAGUCAGAGGUGAAAUUCUUGGAUUUUUGGAAGACGAACGGAUGCGAAAGCGUUUGGCAAGGAUAUACCCAUUGAUCAAGGACGAAAGUUAGGGGAUCGAAGACGAUUAGAUACCGUCGUAGUCUUAACCAUAAACGAUGCCAUCUAAAAGAUGGUGUAUUGAUAAUUAAGCAUCGUACAUCCUUUUUUUCCGGGAAACCAAAGAUUUUGGGUUCUGGGGGGAGUAUGGUCGCAAGUCUGAAACUUAAAGGAAUUGACGGAAGGGCACCACCAGGAGUGGAGCCUGCGGCUUAAUUUGACUCAACACGGGGCAACUUACCAGGUCCGGACAUUUUUAUGAUUGACAGAUUGAUAGCUCUUUCAUGAUUGAAUGGGUGGUGGUGCAUGGCCGUUCUUAGUUGGUGGAGUGAUUUGUCUGGUUAAUUCCGUUAACGAACGAGACCUUUUCCUGCUAACUAGUUGGUAUCCUUUUUUUUGAAGAGAGGAUGCAUUGAACUUCUUAGAGGUACUAUUCGUUUUUCACGGAUGGAAGCUUUAGGCAAUAACAGGUCUGUGAUGCCCUUUGAUGUCCUGGGCUGCACGCGGGCUACACUGAUGCAUUCACUGAGUUUUUUUGAAAACCUAUUCUGAAAGGAAUAUGGGUAAUCUUUGAAAGUGCAUCGUGCUUGGGAUUGAAAACUGUAACUGUUUUCAUGAACGAGGAAUUCCUUGUAAACGCGAGUCAUCAACUUGCGUUG
Molecule: ribosomal RNA, 1132 nt
Filed under: Galdieria sulphuraria
Lineage: Eukaryota; Rhodophyta; Bangiophyceae; Galdieriales; Galdieriaceae
Description: partial 18S ribosomal RNA
Rfam family: Eukaryotic small subunit ribosomal RNA
Source: RNAcentral